AGGGUUCGAUUCUGGCUCAGGACGAACGCUGGCGGCGUGCUUAACACAUGCAAGUCGAACGAGGAUUAUGUUGGAAGGGCUUCGGCCUGGAAGGCGUAAUUCGAGUGGCGGACGGGUGAGUAACGCGUGAACAAUCUGUCCCGGACAGGGGAAUAACACUUGGAAACAGGUGCUAAUACCGCAUAAGACCACGCCCUCGCAUGGGGGAGGGGUAAAAGGAGGAAUCCGGUUCGGGGUGAGUUCGCGUCCGAUUAGAUAGUUGGUGAGGUAACGGCCCACCAAGUCGACGAUCGGUAGCCGACCUGAGAGGGUGAUCGGCCACAUUGGAACUGAGAGACGGUCCAAACUCCUACGGGAGGCAGCAGUGGGGAAUAUUGGGCAAUGGGCGAAAAAGCCUGACCCAGCAACGCCGCGUGAGUGAAGAAGGCUUUCGGGUUGUAAAGCUCUGUUAUAGGGGACGAAGGAAGUGACGGUACCCUAUAAGGAAGCCCCGGCUAACUACGUGCCAGCCGCGGC
Molecule: ribosomal RNA, 516 nt
Filed under: uncultured bacterium
Lineage: Bacteria
Description: bacterial SSU rRNA
Rfam family: Bacterial small subunit ribosomal RNA
Source: RNAcentral